RNAcentral lists this unclassified non-coding RNA (263 nucleotides) under Hevea brasiliensis (rubber tree). The record is from RNAcentral. Lineage: Eukaryota; Viridiplantae; Streptophyta; Magnoliopsida; Malpighiales; Euphorbiaceae.
GAAAAAUGGAUUGAAUCAGUCUGGAUGGAACCCCUGAAACAGGAGUACUAGAAGCAAAAUGCAGUGAAGCUGUAGAAAAUGGUGAAUCUCUUGGCUUGUUUGGUUUCUGAUCCUUUGAUGGGUCUUGAUCGGCUGAAACAGAACCAAAACUGGAUGGGGGAGCAUCAUCCACGUCCUCAUCUUCAUCGUCUUCUUCUUCACCUUCCUCUUCAAAUGAUGCCUUUUUAUCUAAGUUGGUUGAUGAAGUAACAUCUUCAUCAAGC